CUCUCUUGUAUUGAAUACCAAAAUCCAAUAUUGAUAAAUAACAUUUUGACAGCUUAAGUCUUCAGUGAAGAUAUCAACCAUGUCUUUCAAUAUUUUACUGCAAGUACACGACUGAUAAGACGGUUACAUUGCUUUCCAAGGAAAAACCCUGAGUUCAAUGGAAGGAUCAGGACUACCAAUAUUCAAGGGAUGUCCUCAAAACCAAUGCAAUGUUAUAGGAAAUGAUUUGUGCUUAAUUUGUAAGCAGCUUUUCUUUGCAAAAAGUACUGAGAAAAUAUGCACAAACUGUGAAUUGACAAGCCUUAGAUCCAUUGUCGGUCAAACACAUAUGCAACAGGAUUUAUAUGAGAGUGUAGAAGAAAGGCUGAAAAUGAAGAAACAUCACAGAUAUGGAUGUGAUUUGUGUGGAAAAAUGUUCCAAAAUACAUCCUUCCUGAAAAUCCACCAGAGAACACAUACUGGAGAAAAACCAUAUAAUUGUGAAAUUUGUAACACAGCUUUCUCACAGUCAUCAUCCCUGAAUACCCACAAACAACUUAAACAUUCCAACCAAAAGCCAUAUAAUUGUAAUAUAUGUGGGAAAACAUUUGCAAUAAAAAAUUAUCUUACUGUGCAUUUACGCACCCAUAGCAGAGAAAAGCCAUAUAAAUGUAACUCAUGUUUAAAAACGUUUACACAAAAAUCUUCACUAACAACUCACGUAAAAAUGCAUCAGUAAAAUGUAGUUAGAAAUAAUGACAUAUAUUAUAGAUAUACAUUUAUAUGAACAAUAUAUAGCAGAAAAAUUAAACAAUGAUAGUUCAGCAGAUAAAUGUACAGAAAAUUGAUGGGACAAAAAAAUCACAGUUAUUUCGUUCAUCGUUUAAAUAUAUAAAUUAAAAGAAAAAAUUCUUGAAAUCUUUUGAUUUUAUUUUAAGCAAAUUGUCCAUUAACAUUCUAAAAUGAAGAUGUAUCAAUUUUUUAUCAUACAAUAAAUAUAUUUCCUGAGACGCACCAUUGAGCAAUUGAAUUAACAGGCCAUUUUGACAGCUUAUUAUUUUAAGAAUAUUUUGAUCAUAUUGAAAGUUUUGACAAUUGUUUUUUUUUAUGCCCCCUCUGCUAGGCGAAAGGGGUAUUUACAUGUAGUGUUACCCUUGACCUUCUGUCCCUCUUUCCGUCCUUCUGUUCGUCCCAUUUUUGGUUUCCACACUCUAACUUAUAGUUUUACUAAUUCAAAUCUUAUGAAACUCAUGCACAUGGAUAAGAACCACAACACGCAGACAUAGUUUAAAUUUGCUCCUUUAUAACUUGGAAAAUUGCAAAAUUUUUCGUUUCCGCACUCUAACUUAAGUUUUCCUAAUGAUUUGAUUUUUGAUUUUUGGUGUUUUAAUGCCACUUUUAAGCACCGCUUUUGGGCUAUUUCGUGGCGGCCAGUUUUUAUUGGUGGAGGAAGCCGGAGUGCCCGGAGAAAACCACCGACCUUCGAUAGGAAAACUGACAAUCUUAGUCAAUUAAGAUUGGAUUUGAGUGCACCCGCACGAGCGGGGUUCGAACUCACAACCUCAGUGUUGACUGGCUAGUGAUUACAGUAGUAACUACUUAGACCACUCAGCCACCGAGGCUCCCGGUUUUCCUAAUGAAGAUUUUAUGAAACGCAUACACAAUGCUAAGAACCACAACACACAGAGUUUAAAUUUGGGCAGUGAGUCAUUUACUGAUAUACAUGCAGGUAUGUCCCUAUUUAACUUUGAAAAUUGCAAAGCAUGAGCAGAGGCAUUCGUAUCCUCAGACACAUUCUUCUUUUUAUGCCCACCCCGCUAGGCAAAAGGGGCCUUAAGUGUAACCCAUGACCUUCCAUCCAUCUUUCUGUCUGUUCCAUUUUUGGAUUCCGCACUCUAACUUUAUAAGUUUUACUCAUCCAAAACUUUUACACAAUGCUAAGAACCACAACACUUAGACAGAGUUUAAAUUUGGGCAGUGAGUCAUUUACCGUUAUAGAGGUAUGCCCUUUUUUAACUUGGAAAACUUCAAAGCAUGAGCUGCAGGGGCAUUCCUGUCUUCAGACACAUUCUUCCUUUUCAUUUUUUUAAACAAAGUUGUUUAAUGUAAUAGUUAAAGAAAAAUACAAAACAAAAAAUAAACUUUAAAAAAGAAAACUUUUUUAUCAAAACUUAAUUGUGGCUUUCUGUAGUACUUUCUUUUAGCAUUAUAUGUUACUGAUUAUUCCCACUUUUCAUUAAAAGUUGAGUUGGUGGUCAGUUUUAUAAUUAUUCUUUGGUUGGUCAUGUUGGUUAUAACUGUAAUGCCUAUUGAUAAAUAAUAGUUUUCAUCAACUUUUUUGUCAAAUGAUAGAAAUUGUAUAAACAUUGAUAAAGAGGUUGUCUUAAAAUAAUAUAACUUGCCUGAACUUCAUUAAAAAUUAAUACAAGUUGUAAAGAAGUGAUGUAAAAACAUAGAUAAGAAAUAACUCUUACCAACUGAAUGAAAAGUGGGAAUGAAUUCAAUCCAUGAGUGCUGUAUUAUGCAACCUGCAUGCAUUCUGAAAUUAAUGUACAUGUCUGAACACUAAAGCUUACAAUGUAUAGUUGUGUUAUAACUUUUAGCAAGUAUUGAAGUAAACAUUUUUGAUAUUUGGUAUAAUUGACUUGUUAAUGCAUUGUUGAUAGGAAAUAUUUUAUUAUGCCACUCCCUAAUUAUUUAUAUAAGUGGCUUUCAUGUUUGGCACACUGAUUAAUCUUUUUCAUAAUUCAAGAACAGUUAAUUUUGUGUCAGGUCAGAUUAUAAUGACUUAACAUUCGUUUAGCAUGCCACAGUGACAUGCUUUUGUGUAGAUAUAUUGAUACUGCAGCAACAGCAUUAAAUAUUAUAUAGAUAUUUAUUAUUUUAGAAGGUAGAAUAAUUAGCUAUGUAAAGACAAUCUGUAUUUUGAAUGUAGAUAGCCUGUA
This is a long non-coding RNA of Mytilus californianus (California mussel), 2924 nucleotides long. RefSeq lists it as uncharacterized. The record is from RefSeq and is a predicted model, not a curated record. The transcript has 2 exons. Lineage: Eukaryota; Metazoa; Mollusca; Bivalvia; Mytilida; Mytilidae.